RNAcentral lists this ribosomal RNA (504 nucleotides) under uncultured bacterium. Its description in RNAcentral is "partial 16S ribosomal RNA". It matches the Rfam family "Bacterial small subunit ribosomal RNA", at positions 29 to 507 of the family's 1533-position model. The record is from RNAcentral.
ACGAACGCUGGCGGCGUGCCUAAUACAUGCAAGUAGAACGCACAGUUUAUACCGUAGCUUGCUACACCAUAGACUGUGAGUUGCGAACGGGUGAGUAACGCGUAGGUAACCUGCCUGGUAGCGGGGGAUAACUAUUGGAAACGAUAGCUAAUACCGCAUAAUAUUAAUUAUUGCAUGAUAAUUAAUUGAAAGGUGCAAUUGCACCACUACCAGAUGGACCUGCGUUGUAUUAGCUAGUAGGUGAGGUAACGGCUCACCUAGGCGACGAUACAUAGCCGACCUGAGAGGGUGAUCGGCCACCCUGGGACUGGGACACGGCCCAGACCCCUACGGGAGGCAGCAGUAGGGAAUCUUCGGCAAUGGACGAAAGUCUGACCGAGCAACGCCGCGUGAGUGAAGAAGGUUUUCGGAUCGUAAAGCUCUGUUGUAAGAGAAGAACGGGUGUGAGAGUGGAAAGUUCACACUGUGACGGUAUCUUACCAGAAAGGGACGGCUAACUACGUG